AGUUCUAGAGGAAACUCCGCAUUUCCAAACAUACUAGAUAGUUCAAAAAUAAAAUACGAUUAUCAAAAAUUUUGUUUUCGACAUAAUUUAUUUAUUAAAAACCCAUAAUUCUUUUUCCCCCGUUCUCGCAAGCAAGCUUCAAUCAUCGUUUAGUCCACCUUCUUUGGUACCUAAUAUGUUAAGUGCAAGGGUCAAUAUUCCUAAACCACAAAUACAAUCAUAUAGAACAUAAAAACAUAAAAUAAGAGACAUAGUUAAAUACUCACCACAUAAAAGGUAAAAGUCAAAUAGCACAAAUAAGAUAACAAAAACAGAACUUGCAAUUCCCCAAAAUAAUGCUAAUAAGGUAAAUAAAAAUUAGACUAAAUGAUGCAUGAAAUGCAACUAGACCAUGAUCCGGAUAUCGCCCCAUUUGGCACUUAGAAUUUAACGCCCCAAGUAGCGUAUUCGCCCCAUUUGGCACAUAAUAUAAAUCGCCCCAUUUGACACUUGGAAUUUAACGCCCCAGGUAGCGUAUUCGCCCCAUUUGGCACAUAAUAACAAUCGCCCCAUUUGGCACUUGGAAUUUAACGCCCCAAGUAGCAUAUUCGCCCCAUUUGGCACAUAAUAACAAAUCGCCCCAUUUGGCACCUAAGACUCAACUAUAUGCCAUGCUAUGCUUCAUAUAAAUAAUUUUUAGAAAAUUCAUCACUAACAUGUACAUCUUCUAUCAAGUUUAAAACAUGUACAACAAGCAAAUUUGUAUUAUAAUUUCCACUACUAUCACCACAAUCAAUAUCACAUCAGAGACCAUCUCUAUGUCAGCAACUAGUUAUAACGUAAUUAAAUCAUCAACUUUCUUUCACAAAUCUCAUAGAUCACCACAUUCUCAAAAAUAAACCAUUGACAAUAUCACACCAAAAGUUAAAUAGACAUUCACGCAACAAGCAAUGUAGUAACAAUAUAUUCUAUUAUUUUAUUUAUGUUCUAUAGUUUUUAUCUCUUAUUAGGUAAGGAUUUUACCACCAACAUACCUUAUGAUCCUAUUACCUACAUGAUUGUACCGGAAUAUAAGCCCUUACCUUUACGUGCUUUCCUUUCCGAUGUUGAUUUUUAGAGAUUCCAAGACCAACCACACGAUCAGAGGUUUAGGACUCCUUUACGGUUAAGAGUUCUUGCCGUACUAAACAAAAGAGAUGCAAUUGUGAAGAGAAAGUGAUGUGUUGAAUGGUGUUUGAGAGAAUGAUGAGUUGGGGUCUAUUUAUAGUGUUGAUGGUUGAGAGAAAAAGUUAAUCAUGGGAUGGAUUGAGGGAGUUGUAU
RNAcentral lists this long non-coding RNA (1299 nucleotides) under Trifolium pratense (red clover). Its description in RNAcentral is "long non-coding RNA (TPRA_LNC006607)". Lineage: Eukaryota; Viridiplantae; Streptophyta; Magnoliopsida; Fabales; Fabaceae. The record is from RNAcentral.